AGAAGUUCAAAUGAGUAGAUGGCAAAAAAUGAUCGAAGCGGCAAAAAGAAAGUAAAUCUCACCAGCCCAGGAGAAGAAAGAAGAAAAUAGAAAAAGAGUAAAAAGGGGUGAAGCCACAUGCGCCGAUGUAUGUAGAGUAAACGCCGGAAAUGAGGAUACGCAAGAAGAUGAUACCGGAGAUUGGAAAAUACAGGAAAGAAGGAGGAGAAAAAGGAAAGAAAUAGAAAAUAUUGGAAUAAUAGAGGUAAAUAGUAUUAGGUCAUCCCAUAAGUUCGUGCCGACUUUGUGUAUACAUUUCAUCAGAAGAAAUAGACCGAAAGCAAUUAUAGUAAAAGUAGAGGAAACCGUUCAGUGGAUAGAAACAGACAAAAUUUUAAUGAAGGGCAAGCAGAUGGAUGCAGAUAAUUUUAUUUUAAAAUUUGACUUCAAUUAUCGGAACUUAUUUAUUCAUAAUUCAAACGACGAAGAGGCACAUGCAGAAUGUUUCCAGGCUACUGUAGAAACGACAUGUGCCUCCGAAAUAAAAAAAGUUUAUCCUGCUAUAAGAAAACAAGUAGAAACUAUCGGUGGUGUGAAGAACUAAAGGUAUUUAGGGGGGAGGCGUUUAAACUUUAAAGCUCAGAGAGCACAAAAUAAGAGGAUUACAGGACGCGGGUAAAUUGAUUGAGGAAUUUAGAAUUUAAAGAAAAGAGCUUAGUAAGAAGAUUCGCGAAAAUAAAGAAAAAAAGGAUGGAAGGAAUUUUGCGUCACGUUGGAUAGGGACCCAUGGCGGAGGUCUUAUCGGACUAUUAUAUCCAAGAUAGCCUGAAAAGUCCCAACAGACGGCUUCUACGUAAACAAGGUCUAAAAAAUUUGUUGGACACGCUAGCGC
This 871-nucleotide unclassified non-coding RNA is filed under the name Bombus terrestris (buff-tailed bumblebee). RNAcentral describes it as "misc RNA ENSBTSG00005038905.1". The record is from RNAcentral. Lineage: Eukaryota; Metazoa; Arthropoda; Insecta; Hymenoptera; Apidae.